This 447-nucleotide ribosomal RNA is filed under the name uncultured Hyphomicrobiales bacterium. RNAcentral describes it as "bacterial SSU rRNA". It matches the Rfam family "Bacterial small subunit ribosomal RNA", at positions 29 to 523 of the family's 1533-position model. The record is from RNAcentral. Lineage: Bacteria; Pseudomonadati; Pseudomonadota; Alphaproteobacteria; Hyphomicrobiales.
AACGAACGCUGGCGGCAGGCUUAACACAUGCAAGUCGAGCGCCCCGCAAGGGGAGCGGCAGACGGGUGAGUAACGCGUGGGAAUCUACCCAUCUCUACGGAAUAACGCAUGGAAACGUGUGCUAAUACCGUAUACGUCCUUCGGGAGAAAGAUUUAUCGGAGAUGGAUGAGCCCGCGUUGGAUUAGCUAGUUGGUGGGGUAAAGGCCUACCAAGGCGACGAUCCAUAGCUGGUCUGAGAGGAUGAUCAGCCACACUGGGACUGAGACACGGCCCAGACUCCUACGGGAGGCAGCAGUGGGGAAUAUUGGACAAUGGGCGCAAGCCUGAUCCAGCUAUGCCGCGUGAGUGAUGAAGGCCCUAGGGUUGUAAAGCUCUUUCACCGGUGAAGAUUAUGACGGUAACCGGAGAAGAAGCCCCGGCUAACUUCGUGCCAGCCGCCGCGGUAA